Molecule: long non-coding RNA, 373 nt
Filed under: Olea europaea subsp. europaea
Lineage: Eukaryota; Viridiplantae; Streptophyta; Magnoliopsida; Lamiales; Oleaceae
Source: RNAcentral
CCUUGCGUGAUCAUAAUGAAGGGGCAUAUCAAUUAUUGUAACAAUGAUUGGUUGCUGAGAUGAUAGGCUUGAAGUUGAAGUUGACAGUUGCAUCAUUGAUAUCAUUGAUCUACUUAUUUCUUGCUGAACUCACGCUUCGAGGAUAAUUAGCAAAAAGCAUCCCUAUCGUUUGCACUCAUUGCGAAAAUGGUUCCUAUCGUUUCAAACUUGGCAUUUAUACCCUCACUUCAAACAUUUCUUGUGAAAUCGGUCUUUUUCAUUUUAUUCUUUCGCUAAAUAUGUGUAAUUUGGUGUAAAAUAUCUAUAUCAUUUGCUUUCAUUGAGCAAAUAAUCCCCAUUGUUUAAGUUUUGAUAUUUGGACACUUAAAUCGAC